Molecule: ribosomal RNA, 160 nt
Filed under: Mycetinis alliaceus
Lineage: Eukaryota; Fungi; Basidiomycota; Agaricomycetes; Agaricales; Omphalotaceae
Description: 5.8S ribosomal RNA
Rfam family: 5.8S ribosomal RNA
About the family: 5.8S ribosomal RNA (5.8S rRNA) is a component of the large subunit of the eukaryotic ribosome. It is transcribed by RNA polymerase I as part of the 45S precursor that also contains 18S and 28S rRNA.
Source: RNAcentral
CAACGGAUCUCUUGGCUCUCCCAUCGAUGAAGAACGCAGCGAAAUGCGAUAAGUAAUGUGAAUUGCAGAAUUCAGUGAAUCAUCGAAUCUUUGAACGCACCUUGCGCCCUUUGGUAUUCCGAAGGGCAUGCCUGUUUGAGUGUCAUUAAAUUCUCAACUU